Molecule: ribosomal RNA, 1347 nt
Filed under: Bradysia praecox
Lineage: Eukaryota; Metazoa; Arthropoda; Insecta; Diptera; Sciaridae
Description: eukaryotic LSU rRNA
Rfam family: Eukaryotic large subunit ribosomal RNA
Source: RNAcentral
GUGUGCGAGUCAUUGGGUAUAUUGUUGAAACCUAAGGGCGCAAUUAAAAUAACUAUUUUAUGGGAUUACAAGUGAAUUAAAUUUCAUUUCUUCAUCCCGGGGCGUUCUAUACGAACAUGGUCCAAGCAAUUGAACCCUCUGUUCAAGAGCGUACCUUGAGCAUACAUGCUGUGACCCGAAAGAUGGUGAACUAUACCUGAUCAGAUCGAAGCCAGGAGAAAUUCUGGUGGAGGAUCGAAACAGUUCUGACGUGCAAAUCGAUUGUCAGAAUUGGGUAUAGGGGCGAAAGACCAAUCGAACCAUCUAGUAGCUGGUUCCCUCCGAAGUUUCCCUCAGGAUAGCUGGCGCAAAGAAUUAUAUUGUAUAUAAUCUUAUCUGGUAAAGCGAAUGAUUAGAGGCCUUGGGGCCGAAACGACCUCAACCUAUUCUCAAACUUUAAAUGGGUAAGAACCUCAUCUUUCUUGAUCUGAAGAUAUUGGGGUUUAGAUAUAUUGUGCCCAGUGGGCCACUUUUGGUAAGCAGAACUGGCGCUGUGGGAUGAACCAAACAUGAUGUUACGGCGCCUAAAUUAAUGACUCAUAUUGAUACCAUGAAAGGCGUUGGUUGCUUAAAACAGCAGGACGGUGGACAUGGAAGUCGUAAUCCGCUAAGGAGUGUGUAACAACUCACCUGCCGAAGCAACUAGCCCUUAAAAUGGAUGGCGCUCAAGUCAUAUGCCUAUACAUCAUCGCUAGAAUAAAAAUUGUUGGCCAUUCGGUCAUCAUUGUGAAAUUCUAGUGAGUAGGAGGGUACAAUGGUGUGCGCCGAAGUGUUUGGCGUGAGCCUGCAUGAAGCCGCCAUUGGCACAGAUCUUGGUGGUAGUAGCAAAUAAUCGAAUGAGAUCUUGGAGGACUGAAGUGGAGAAGGGUUUCGUGUGAACAGUGGUUGAUCACGAGUUAGUCGGUCCUAAGCUUUAUGCGAAAGCUGUUUAAUUUAUGUUACACACAAAUCUUUUGUUGUACAUAAUUCAAUAAAAGCGAAAGGGAAUACGGUUCCAAUUCCGUAACCUGUUGAGUAUACGUUUGUUUAUUAAAAAUGGGUCUUAUUACACUCAUCCUGGCAACAGGAACGACCAUAGAGAAGCCUUCGAGAGAUACUGGAAGAGUUUUCUUUUCUGCUAAACAAACGUACCACCAUGGAAGUCUUUUAUAGAGAGAUAUGGUGGAUGGCUUGGAAGAGCAUGACAUUUACUGUUGUGUCAGUAUUUUCUCCUUGGACCUUGAAAAUCUAUGGUGGGGCCACGCAAACUUCUCAACAGACCGUACCGAUAUCCGCAGCCGGUCUCCAAGGUGAAGAGUCUCUAGUCGA